ACGAUCAGAUACCGUCGUAGUCCUAACUAUAAACGAUGUCAACCAAGGAUUGGAUGAAAUUCAGHAUGUACAAAGAUGAAGAAACAUUGUUUCUAAAUCCAAGUAUAUCAAUACUACCUUGUUCAGAACUUAAAGAGAAAUCUUGAGUUUAUGGACUUCAGGGGGAGUAUGGUCACAAGGCUGAAACUUAAAGGAAUUGACGGAAGGGCACACCAGGAGUGGAGCCUGCGGCUUAAUUUGACUCAACACGGGAAAACUUACCAAGACCGAACAGUAGAAGGAAUGACAGAUUAAGAGUUCUUUCAUGAUUUAUUGGGUAGUGGUGCAUGGCCGUUCUUAGUUGGUGGAGUGAUUUGUCAGGUUAAUUCCGGUAACGAACGAGACUGAAACCUAUUAAUUAGUUUUCUGCCUAUAAGACAGAAAUGUUCGCAAGAACAGGUGCGUAAGUACCACUUCUUAAAGGGACACAUUUCAAUUGUCCUAUUUUAAUUGUUAGUUAUCUAAUUUCGAUUAGAAC
This 517-nucleotide ribosomal RNA is filed under the name Entamoeba dispar. RNAcentral's name for it is "bacterial SSU rRNA". It matches the Rfam family "Eukaryotic small subunit ribosomal RNA", at positions 1015 to 1476 of the family's 1831-position model. Lineage: Eukaryota; Evosea; Mastigamoebida; Endamoebidae. The record is from RNAcentral.